AUAAAGCUUGUAAUCCUUUCGGGAGAGAGAGAUUGCGUGGCUUUCCGGAGUUUAUUGGAAAGUGGUGGUGGAUUUGUGUGACCUCUGCGGGUUGUAGUGGCGCGGGAGGGGAGGGGAGGUGCGCGCGCACCCCCGGGUUUGUUUGCGUUCGGGCGCGCGCGCUCCCCGCCAGGCAGGGCCAGGGAUCUUGUUUUCCCCAACCAACCCCUCCGGCUCGACGCGAUAUUUUCAAGGAGGUAACACCCAGGAUUUCAUUACGCUAAAAAGAGAGGGGGGAGGGGGAGAGAGAGGAGGAAAGAGAGGGAGACGAGAAAGAAGAGGGAGGGGGAGAGAAGAUGAGGGGGAAAGAGAGCAAGAAGGAGAGAGGGAGAAAGGGAGAGAGAGAGAGAAGAAAGGAACAAGGGAAAGCAGCGCUCUUUUCUCCCAUCCCUACCCCCUCCUUUCCUCCAACGAAGAACUGCUCUUUUGGACUGCUGAGAGUCCUCCGGGCUGUAUGGCCAUGUUCCAGAAGCAUUCUCUCCUGACGUUUCGCCCACAUCUAUGGCAGGCAUCCUCAGAGGUUGUGAGAUAUAUUGGAAACCAGGACAAGGGAUGUUUAUAUAUCUGUGGAAGGUCCAGGGUGGGAGAAAGAACUCUUGUAUGUUGGAGGCAGGUGUGACUGUUGCAGUUAAUCACCUUGAUUAGCAUUGAAUAGCUUUGCAGCUUCAAAGCUUGGCUGCUUCCUACUUGGGGGGAUACUUUGUUGGGAGGUGUUAGCUGGCCCUGAUUGUUUCAUGUCUGGAAUUCUAUUGUUUUCAGAGUGUUGUUCUUUAUUUUCUGUCCUGAUUUUAGGGGUUUUUUUUUAAUACUGGUGGCCAGAUUUGGUUCAAUUUCAUGGUUUCCUCCUUUCUGUUGAAAUAGUCCCCAUACUUGUGGAUUUCAGUAGCUUCUCUGUGCAGUCUGACAUGGUGGUCGUUAGAGUGGUCCAGCAUUUCUGUGUUCUCCAAUAAUAUGCUGUGUCCAGGUUGCUCUGCCAUGGCUGACUUCUCUGUAGUUGAAUUAGUCUGCAGUACCUUUCAUGUCCCUUGAUUCGUGUUUGGGCAAGGCUGCGUUUGGUGGUCCCUGUGUAGACUCUUUUGUGCUCUUUUGUGCCGGGGAAGAGGAAGGAAGGAGGGAAGGAAAGAAGGAAGGAAAGAAGGAGGGAAGGACGGCGGCAGGCAGCUGAUUAGGAUGCAGGAAGCGACCUGCCCUCUAUUGGAAAAAGGAGGAACGAGGGACGGCGAGGGGAGGAGGGAAUGAGGUAAGGAGAGGAGGGGAGGGGAGGGGAGGGGAGGGGAGGGGAAAGGAGGCAGCGGGAAAGCAGCCGCAGCUGCAGCCCAGGCUGGAUAUCCAACAACGGCUUGCCUCAACCUCCCCUUGACGCUUUUUCCUCCCCAAGCUUCGGACAGAAGGAGCGCCUCAUCUCUUCCUCUUUCUCCUCCUCUUCCUCUCCUCUCCAGCGGACACGGACCACGAGAGCUGCUCCCGCCUUCCCGGAAACCGGGGGAAGGGAUCCGGAAGGCCGCCUCCUCCUCCUCCGAUGGAGUCCUUUCGGAGACGUCGGACCUCUAAGCUUCUUUCCACGGACCAGAACGGAGCCCGUUUUCGCUGGACAAACCAAAAACUGACCAACAGAGAGCCCCCUCCUCCAGCGCCCGCCGCCCUGCCUCAGUUUCCAUCUGGUUUCCUACAACUCUUCGGCUGGUAGAGGCGCCGCCACCGCUGCUUCCUCUGACGGAACCAAUCCGGAUUGGACAUCAGGCGGGGAUGCUAUUCCAGAUGCUAUUCUCGUCCUUCCUUCUUCCCCUCUUCUUCUUCUCCCCAUCCUCUUCCUCCUCCUCCUCUUCUUAGGAUAGACUCAGAUGAGUCUCCAAGGAUGGCGCUCUUCAUGUUUCCUGCUUUAGGAAACGAGUCAAAACUUCAAUGUGUUGUUGAAGGCUUUCAUGGCCGGAAUCGCUGGGUUGCUGUGAGUUUUCCGGGCUAGAUGGCCAUCUUCCAGAAGAAUUCUCUCCUGAGCUUUCGCCUACAUCUAUGGCAGGCAUCCUCAGAGGUUGUGAGGUCUGUUGGAAACGAGGCAAUUUGGAUGUAUAUAUCUUCCUAACACCUCCAAACAAAGAAUUCCCCAUGGCAGGAAUCAGCCAGGCCUUGAAGCUGCAAGACUUUUCGAUGCCAAUCAAGGAGAUUAAUUGCGACAUUCACACCUGCCUCAAACAGACAAUGGUUCUUUCUCCCACCCUGAACCUUGCACAGAUAUAUAAACCUCACCUGUCUAGUUUACAAUAUAUACCUCACAACCUCUGAGGAUGCCUGCCAUAGAUGUGGGCGAAACGUCAGGAGAGAAUGCUUCUGGAACAUGGCCACAGAGCCGGGAAAACUCAAAGCAACCUACCCAGUCAAGCCUUGCAUUGAGCCGAGUUCCCUGUCCCCAGAAGAGUCGUGUGUGUGGCGUGUGUGUGUGUGUGUGUGUGGGCACGUAGGCGUGUGGAAAGAGGGGAGGGGAGGGAGGGAAUGCUGAAAUGACUUCUGCUGCUGCCCAGAAAUGGCUGGCGGGAGGGGAGGGGGGAGGAAGGGAGCGACCAAAUCCGGCCGUCUUCAAGAGCAAUCAGGGCAAAGCCCUGUCAUUCUGUGGUCUUAAGAAAUGAAAGAGAGGGGAGGGAGGGAGGGAGGGGAGGGAGGGGGGAAAGCCCUGGCCACAUUAGAGCAGCUUAAGGAGGUGGCUUUAAAAGCCCGGCACACACUGGAAACGGACUCCUGCCCGCUGAAGCUGGCAGAUGGGCUCGGGAGCGGCCUCGCAUUCAAAGCCGGGUUUGGGAGAUGAAUGGAGGGCGAAGGAGAGGGGCGGCAAGGGCGGGAGGGAGUUGUGGCUUUCCUCUCUCUUUUUUGUGAAAGGACGCCGGCUAUUUCGUCUGCAGAGAGACAGAGAACAGGCGGGACCGGAGGCGCUGCCUCUCCGUGUUCACAGCGGACCUUGAUUUAAUGUCAUACAAUUAAGGCACGCGGUGAAUGCCAAGAGCGGGGCUGGAAGGCGACGAGGAGCCACGUCCAGAAAGAAAGAAAAAAAGAAAGGGGGAAAAAGGGGGAAGGGGAAGAUCUACAAUCGGAAUUCCUCGGAGGCAAUGCAUUUCCGUCAAGAAAGAAGGCAUUAGGCGUUACAACCCUUCCGGAGGGAGAGCUUACCCCAAAAACAGGUAAGUGGGGUUUGGUUUUUCCCCGAGAUUCCGAUCCAAACAACUUUGUAAAGACGAGAGAAGGGAAAUAAAUACCUUUGCCAUGAUGACGAAA
Molecule: long non-coding RNA, 3300 nt
Organism: Anolis carolinensis (green anole)
Lineage: Eukaryota; Metazoa; Chordata; Lepidosauria; Squamata; Anolidae
Exons: 2
Source: RefSeq, a predicted model, not a curated record